AUUGAACGCUGGCGGCAUGCUUUACACAUGCAAGUCGAACGGCAGCACGGGCUUCGGCCUGGUGGCGAGUGGCGAACGGGUGAGUAAUAUAUCGGAACGUGCCCAGAAGUGGGGGAUAACGUAGCGAAAGUUACGCUAAUACCGCAUACGAUCUAUGGAUGAAAGCAGGGGACCGCAAGGCCUUGUGCUCCUGGAGCAGCCGAUAUCUGAUUAGCUAGUUGGUGAGGUAAAGGCUCACCAAGGCGACGAUCAGUAGCUGGUCUGAGAGGACGACCAGCCACACUGGAACUGAGACACGGUCCAGACUCCUACGGGAGGCAGCAGUGGGGAAUUUUGGACAAUGGGCGCAAGCCUGAUCCAGCAAUGCCGCGUGAGUGAAGAAGGCCUUCGGGUUGUAAAGCUCUUUUGUCAGGGAAGAAACGGUAGAGGCUAAUAUCCUUUGCUAAUGACGGUACCUGAAGAAUAAGCACCGGCUAACUACGUG
Molecule: ribosomal RNA, 484 nt
Filed under: uncultured bacterium
Lineage: Bacteria
Description: partial 16S ribosomal RNA
Rfam family: Bacterial small subunit ribosomal RNA
Source: RNAcentral